UGCCCUGGCAAUGGCAAAGAGAUACCUUAUUUGGCGAUGUUGUUCUUAUAUCAGUCAGGGGUAGAGCAGUUGGCAGGCCUCUGGUCAUGCUAGCUUGAUGCCUAGAUUAGUAACCAAAGCUGUGUUGUACCUAGGUCACAUAA
Molecule: small nucleolar RNA, 143 nt
Organism: Grammomys surdaster
Lineage: Eukaryota; Metazoa; Chordata; Mammalia; Rodentia; Muridae
Product: small nucleolar RNA SNORA48
Exons: 1
Source: RefSeq, a predicted model, not a curated record